RNAcentral lists this ribosomal RNA (233 nucleotides) under uncultured bacterium. RNAcentral describes it as "partial 16S ribosomal RNA". It matches the Rfam family "Bacterial small subunit ribosomal RNA", at positions 118 to 347 of the family's 1533-position model. The record is from RNAcentral.
UGAGGAACAUGACCUUCGGCGGGGGAUAGCCGGCCCAACGGCCGGGUAAUACCGCGUACGACCUUUCAGGGACAUCCCUGAAUGGUGAAAGCAGCAAUGCGCCGAUGGAGUGCCUCGCGGCCUAUCAGCUAGUUGGUGAGGUAACGGCUCACCAAGGCGACGACGGGUAGCUGGUCUGAGAGGAUGGCCAGCCACAUUGGGACUGAGACACGGCCCAGACCUCCGUAGGGAGG